Molecule: long non-coding RNA, 588 nt
Filed under: Amborella trichopoda
Lineage: Eukaryota; Viridiplantae; Streptophyta; Magnoliopsida; Amborellales; Amborellaceae
Description: long non-coding RNA (ATRI_LNC004702)
Source: RNAcentral
UUUUUCUAGUUGAAUUGAUCGAGUUUGCCAAUUGUAUCUAAAGUCUAAAUGUUUCUAUUACACCUCAUUAUGUCAUUCUCAUUCCAUGCUGCUGAUCCAGAAAGAAUCAUCAAAAAUGCUCUAAGAUUUCCUCCUAACCAUUAAGAAUCAUUCCUUAUAGUAUGGUGCCAGUGCGAAAGAAAUUGAUAGUGCUAUCCAGGUAAGAAGUGGGACAUAAUUCACGCACUUGUUCAGAGAAGAAGCCACGGAAGCUUGUUACAUGUUAUAUGUGCAACAAAGUGGGACAUAAUUCACGCAGUUGUUCAUUUUAAAAAAGUAGUGAUUCACACCUUGCAGGGGUAAAAUAUUGAUUAUGUUGUAAAUAUUGAUUACCUCAUACUCUCUUUAUCUACUUUUUUUUUUACUCUCACUACUUGAAUGACAAGUUAUUUUGUUUUUUAACUUGCUUUACAGAUUUCAAUGGUAGAUGCCAUGACCACGGGUCAGUCCUUGAAUGCUAUCAUUCAAGAUUAUAGUGGUACCUUUUAGGUAAACUUUUACUAUUAUGAUACUCUUCCCAAUGACAUGCAUGCAAGAGUUAAAUAUAUU